Molecule: long non-coding RNA, 1553 nt
Organism: Vespa crabro (European hornet)
Lineage: Eukaryota; Metazoa; Arthropoda; Insecta; Hymenoptera; Vespidae
Exons: 2
Source: RefSeq, a predicted model, not a curated record
UCUAUAAUCUUGAAAUCUCGUGCGCGACUAACGAGAUCGUUAUCGUGUGGUGUUUAAGAUAAAUAUACUUUACGUACAAGCAUAGGAAAGUGAGAAAGGUUCGGGAGGAAGGGGAGAGAGAGGGAGAGUAGAUGUAGUUCGGUAGCAAAGGCAAGUAUAUAUUUCUCACGAGUAUGCAAAUGGAUGUGACAGUCAAAGGGUUAUUAUGCAUACGUAAGUAUUUAUGUGCAUUCGCGUAUUCAACUUGAGAGCGAGUGGGCCAUGAUUGUGCUCGAACAAUGGGAUCCGUCGCUUUGUUUACCGAACAACUAUUGACGCUUAUGGGCUUUUCAGCUUGACGGAAAUUGGAGAAAAUUUUGCCGUUUGCGCGACACGCAUCUCUCUUUCGCAAUGCAACCUCUCGCGAAACAGAAUCGUAAUAUUUCGUGUCGAUAACGUAUCUUCCUCUUCCUUCUUCUCCUUCUCCACCUCUUCGAACUUUCCUCUAUGCGAUAGAGCUUGCACGCGCUAACGUCUAUGUAUAUAUGGAUCUACGUACAUGGAUACGUGUAUUUAUUAAAGUGUCAUGUCAGAAAGAUAGGAAAAAAUUUCAUUUGCAUGCGUAAGUAGAACUUUUCAAAUCGUGUUUGAAAGCCGAACGUUAUCUCUUCUCUUUUGGCAAAAAGAAAGAUAAGUUUGGGAUAUAACGUCAAAGAAAACCAUCGAAUAAUUUUAACUUUGAAGAAGGAAGUCACUCAUCUGCAUACAUACCUAUAUACAUAAAUACAUGCGCACAUACGUAAAUACUUACAUACAUAUACGUAUUGUCUGAAAUACGAGGAAUCUUAUGGGAGAGUUACCACUCGCAGUCGUAUUCGCGUCAAUUGUUUCUGACAAAUUGUCGUUUCGCAUCUGUCAAUUUGAAUGAAGCACGGAAAGCAUCUUUCCAGAUACACUCCUUCAAGUUUCUCUCUCUCUCUCUCUCUCUAUCUCUCUUUUCCUUCGUCUAAGGCUUCAACACUCCAUCGAGUCGUAGAAAUGUAAUACUCGUCGCAUCGUUGGAGAUUUUGCCGUGCGACUUGGCGUAAGCCGUCUAUUGUUCCGCGAUACGUUUCUAGGAAAGUAGAAUUUUCGUUAUAUAUGUAUAUUUCUCCUUCCAUGAGUUACCGAUACUUCUUUGAACCAAUUAGGGAGUAUGGAGUUACGAGUAUCUCAUAACUGUGAUGGUGACGAAGGUUGCAAGUUGACGAUAAAAAAAGAAGGACCGUGGAUGGUUAGACGGUUAAAGGAGGAAGGGUGAAAGUUUUAAAGGAGAACCCUUUAAGAUCUCGAGAAAUGAGCUGACUCGGCUCUUGAGUCUUCUUCCAUUUGCAACUUGUAAUAAAAUGAAAACGACCGCAUCCGAUGAGAGAGGAAUUGCGCUACCCUUUGCUUCGAAUAAGUGGAAUUAUCAUUGUUUUAAAACCGUAGACGUUUCCGUUCUAGCAAGGAUAGAGGAAACAAACGAGUCCUUUUGUAAUUCGAAUACGAAAUAAACUUUUCACGCAUUAGUUAUAAAGCGGAAUGAAAAGAGA